Non-coding RNA from Microcebus murinus (gray mouse lemur), 656 nucleotides. Lineage: Eukaryota; Metazoa; Chordata; Mammalia; Primates; Cheirogaleidae. The record is from the annotation of a RefSeq genome assembly.
AGACCCAGAAGUCCCCACUGUCCUGCCCGGCACCUGCCAUGACUGUCCGUCUCCUGGGCUGUGUGGCCUUUUGCCUCCUGUGGGCAGGUUCAGUGACUGCUGGCGUCACCCAGACCCCAAGAUUCCAGAUCCUGAAGACAGGACAGAACACGACCCUGACAUGCACCCAGGACACGAACCAUGAGGAGAUGUACUGGUAUCGACAAGAUCCUGGGCUGGGGCUGAGGCUGAUCUAUUACUCAGUUGGUGUCGGUAUCACUGAAAAAGGACAGGUCUACAAUGGCUACAAUGUCUCUAGAUCAAGUACAGAGACCUUCCCCCUCACGCUGGAGUCGGCUACCCCCUCCCAGACAUCUGGGUACUUCUGUGCCAGCAGUGAAUACACAGCCCUACACAGUGGCCUCCUCGCUGCACAUAAAGGCAGGGGAGGCUCCGCACCCCCAGAACUCAGCGGUGCUCUUGGCAGGUUCUCAACACCAGGACCCUGGAGCCCCGAGGGGCCCGUGCAGUGCCAGCCUGGGUCUGUGCCAGAUCAGGGAGCUCUGGACCUCAGGAAGCCUGCAGGGGUGACCCAGGGCUGUGACAUCACAGAUAACUCCUCCAAUCAGGAGAAGCGAGCCCAGACUCAGCUCUUCCCCAAGAGGCCCACGUCAUGA